Molecule: ribosomal RNA, 560 nt
Filed under: uncultured Alphaproteobacteria bacterium
Lineage: Bacteria; Pseudomonadati; Pseudomonadota; Alphaproteobacteria
Description: bacterial SSU rRNA
Rfam family: Bacterial small subunit ribosomal RNA
Source: RNAcentral
CCUACGGGAGGCAGCAGUGGGGAAUCUUAGACAAUGGGGGCAACCCUGAUCUAGCCAUGCCGCGUGAGUGAUGAAGGCCUUAGGGUCGUAAAGCUCUUUCGCCUGUGAUGAUAAUGACAGUAGCAGGUAAAGAAACCCCGGCUAACUCUGUGCCAGCAGCCGCGGUAAUACGGAGGGGGUUAGCGUUGUUCGGAAUUACUGGGCGUAAAGCGCGCGUAGGCGGAUUAGAAAGUUGGGGGUGAAAUCCCGGGGCUCAACCCCGGAACUGCCUCCAAAACUGCUAGUCUAGAGUUCGAGAGAGGUGAGUGGAAUUCCGAGUGUAGAGGUGAAAUUCGUAGAUAUUCGGAGGAACACCAGUGGCGAAGGCGGCUCACUGGCUCGAUACUGACGCUGAGGUGCGAAAGUGUGGGGAGCAAACAGGAUUAGAUACCCUGGUAGUCCACACCGUAAACGAUGAAUGCCAGUCGUCGGAUAGUAUACUAUUCGGUGACACACCUAACGGAUUAAGCAUUCCGCCUGGGGAGUACGGUCGCAAGAUUAAAACUCAAAGGAAUUGACGG